Molecule: long non-coding RNA, 1553 nt
Organism: Dreissena polymorpha
Lineage: Eukaryota; Metazoa; Mollusca; Bivalvia; Myida; Dreissenidae
Exons: 3
Source: RefSeq, a predicted model, not a curated record
GGGGUAAUCACGUGAUGAUCUAAAGGAAGUCAAGAUGGCGACGUCCGUGUCGAAACAGGACAACGUGUGGCCGAUCAAAUUGCUUCCACAAGAAUAACAACUGCAUGGGGUACGAUGGCAAAGAAGAAUGGUCAUGUUCAAAAGUAUAGGUUCCGACAUCAAGACCAAGCCAGGCAGGAUUCAUCAUCCACUGCGAGGAUGCCUGGAGAACGAUUACGACGAAGUUCUCCGAUGGAGGCAAAACGUAUAUCACCAUGAACAUCGUAUAUCAUCAUGAACACUUAUCUAUCAAAUCUCCUUCAAAAAUAAAAUUCAAAUCUGAAAGAACUUUUGUUUUCACCUAGAAAGAAAGAAAUAUAAGAUUAUACGACAAAAUAAAAGUAACAGGUAAUGCAUGCGGUAACGUGUUUGAAGACUUAUAUAUCCAUAGAAUGCCAUCAAAUACUUAAAAUACCGACAGAUUAUCCAGAAACGAAGGCGAUGUUGGAACCUUCAGAAACACAGCUUCUAUGUGUUACAGAAGACCGCAUGUCAAAUAAAGUGAAUAAUGGUACUGAAUCAAGACUACUAAAUCUAAAAUUAAAGGUCAUGAGAAUAACAUUAAACAAUAUAUAAGAGUUUCUUAAUUAAGAAGCAGUCAACAUAAAUUAAGACAGAGGCAGAUACAUAGUUUUAACAGUAUCGGCAUAUAUGUUUAGUGCUUUAUUGCUGUUGUCUUUGCCUAUUUAGACGUGUGUAGAUGUGUAAAUGCUUUACCGAAUUGGCAGGCCCUGCACGACCCUCGAACUCACUAGCCGUGUCAUCCUGGGGGCAUUUUUUCGACGUGUACUUUGAGCAACACGUGUCGCACAUACAGUUUCAUAGAUUCGAAUUGUGCACAACAGUUUCCCACACUGGAAGCAUGCCUAGCGGACCGCCUCUCCGUGAAUAUGAUAUCUUAAAAAACAAAAAGAUUGUAAAUUUAACUAGUUAGCAGUUGUCAGAUUUUCAACUACUCGAGAUUAUUUAGCUUGUGCGCUAGCUGUAUACAUUUGUGAGAACGUAUGCCUAUAAACCACUCACUGUUCUGAAAGAUGAAUAUAAAGCUCACAAUGUUAUAGACUUUUAACAACGAAAAAAAAAAUCAUCAUCAAAAUUCGUCAUACAACUUAUUCACAAGUAAUAAUUUUAAUACAGUUCUUAGCAACUUGUCUAAUGUAUAACAAGGUAACAAGGCACCAACACAUCGAGAUCUUUUUCACAUGAUUGCUAGCAAUAUAUGUUCAUUUUUAGUUUGUCCUUGUCAUAAAACAUCUUCCCGCAACACCGGCAUGGGGCUUGUCCUUUGUGUUACAUGACGCCUGAAGCCACUCCUUGACUGAAACUGUCGGCCACACUCAGUCCAAAGACGCGUCGUGUUUGAGUUCGAUUCCAUAUUUGCCUGGAAAGUUUGGUUUCAUAUUUAAAAACAUACUUUGUUGAUUAUUUACAGCAUUUACGUGUUUACAUGUUAACAUUACCUGAAAUAUGUGUAGCAAAACCUAGCAAAAUAAAUCAACAACUAAGGGUGACAU